GACGAACGCUGGCGGCGUGCUUAACACAUGCAAGUCGAACGCUGAAGCCUAGCUUGCUGGGUGGAUGAGUGGCGAACGGGUGAGUAACACGUGAGUAACCUGCCCUCUUCUUUGGGAUAACGCCCGGAAAUGGGUGCUAAUACUGGAUAUUCACUGGUCUUCGCAUGGGGGUUGGUGGAAAGGGUUUUUCUGGUGGGGGAUGGGCUCGCGGCCUAUCAGCUUGUUGGUGGGGUGAUGGCCUACCAAGGCUUUGACGGGUAGCCGGCCUGAGAGGGUGACCGGUCACAUUGGGACUGAGAUACGGCCCAGACUCCUACGGGAGGCAGCAGUGGGGAAUAUUGCACAAUGGGCGCAAGCCUGAUGCAGCGACGCCGCGUGAGGGAUGGAGGCCUUCGGGUUGUGAACCUCUUUCGCUCAUGGUCAAGCCGCAACUGUGGGUUGUGGUGAGGGUAGUGGGUAAAGAAGCGCCGGCUAACUACGUGCCAGCAGCCGCGGUAAUACGUAGGGCGCGAGCGUUGUCCGGAAUUAUUGGGCGUAAAGGGCUUGUAGGCGGUUGGUCGCGUCUGUCGUGAAAUCCUCUGGCUUAACUGGGGGCGUGCGGUGGGUACGGGCUGGCUUGAGUGCGGUAGGGGAGACUGGAACUCCUGGUGUAGCGGUGGAAUGCGCAGAUAUCAGGAAGAACACCGGUGGCGAAGGCGGGUCUCUGGGCCGUUACUGACGCUGAGGAGCGAAAGCGUGGGGAGCGAACAGG
Molecule: ribosomal RNA, 751 nt
Filed under: uncultured Actinomyces sp.
Lineage: Bacteria; Bacillati; Actinomycetota; Actinomycetes; Actinomycetales; Actinomycetaceae
Description: bacterial SSU rRNA
Rfam family: Bacterial small subunit ribosomal RNA
Source: RNAcentral